CGUGCAGGCGGGCGGGCAAGUCUGAUGUGAAAGCCCCGGGCUCAACCCGGGAAGUGCAUUGGAAACUGUUCGUCUUGAGUUCUGGAGAGGAAGGGGGAAUUCCCGGUGUAGAGGUGAAAUUCGUAGAGAUCGGGAGGAAUACCAGUGGCGAAGGCGCCCUUCUGGACGGCAACUGACGCUGAGACGCGAAAGCGUGGGGAGCAAACAGGAUUAGAUACCCUGGUAGUCCACGCUGUAAACGAUGAGCACUAGGUGUAGCGGGUACUCAUUCCUGCUGUGCCGCAGCUAACGCGUUAAGUGCUCCGCCUGGGGAUUACGGUCGCAAGACUAAA
This 332-nucleotide ribosomal RNA is filed under the name uncultured bacterium. RNAcentral describes it as "bacterial SSU rRNA". It matches the Rfam family "Bacterial small subunit ribosomal RNA", at positions 568 to 898 of the family's 1533-position model. The record is from RNAcentral.